CCCACUAAACCUAACAGCCACAAUGCAUACACUACUCCCUUCACCACAGAAGAAACCGAAACAGAAGCAGAGAAGAGGAGAGGGAGAAGAGCAUCGCGCUUCAUCGUCGCCACCGUGCCUUGCCGCCGUGGCCUAACAGCAUCGCCGCCGACUCGUGAAGCUACCGCCAUAGUCCGUCGUGGGCCCCUGCAAGCUCGCCGCGUCGCGUCGCUUUGGAGUCCGCCGUCAGGUCUAAGUCGAAGAAGGUGGGAGACGCACGAAGAGAAGCUUGCGGCUAGCCUUGUCACCGCCACUGCUUCUAUGUCUUCCAACGGCGCUGCCAUCUUCGCCGUGGAUCGCAACCAAAGGGGAGCGCGAGACUGAGAGAGAGAGAUACAGAGAGAGAGAGAGAGAGGCGUGGAGUCGGCGUCGCGCGGAGAGGGACUCGCCGCUGCCGUCGCACACCGCCGUGUGCCGUCAUUGCUGUCUGAACAGUCGCCGUCGCCCUGGGGUGUAGUCUGCCGCUGUCGCCAGUGGAGGUCACUGAUGUGGAACGGAGGUAAGAGGGGGAAGCAAGAUAAAUCCCCUCCGCUUCUGGUGCUCUGAUCCGCCACCACUGCCGCCGGAGUCCUUGGCCGCUGCUCCUACCGUUGCUCCAUUUGGGUUUUGGGUGAGCGCGCCGCCGUUGCCUUUGGAAUCCGCUGUUGAGGCCAGGAUGAUAUGGUGGUUUCUAAUGAAGGCGCCAUUGAUGGGGCUGCUAUGUUCAGUGAAUUUUGCGAGUUUCGACUUUUCGAUGACCCACUGGAGCUUCUGGCCACUGCCGGAGCUGUUGCCGGGCCGGUUCGAAAUCGCAGCUAUCUGUUUUGUUAAUUCGAGCUGUUUAUGCUGUUGCAAAAAUAUGUGGGGCUGUGCUUUGAAGCUGCCUUUGAUUUCGAGUUGAGGCGAAAAGAACUUAUGAGGCAUUUGGAUUAUGGAAUUUGCUGUUUUGAGGAUAUAGGCGCUGAAGUCACGAAGAGUUUAUUUAAUUGUUGUUGUGAUGCUCUGUAUUGUUUUAGUUAUGUUUUAUUGUACCAUCGCCUUUAUCUUGAUAUAUUCUAUAAGAGGGAUAUGAAUUGUUUUGAUUAAUGCUUG
Molecule: long non-coding RNA, 1110 nt
Organism: Arachis duranensis
Lineage: Eukaryota; Viridiplantae; Streptophyta; Magnoliopsida; Fabales; Fabaceae
Exons: 4
Source: RefSeq, a predicted model, not a curated record